AAGUUCUGUGAUACACUCUGACU
RNAcentral lists this microRNA (23 nucleotides) under Monopterus albus (swamp eel). RNAcentral describes it as "Mal-Mir-148-P3_5p (mature (co-guide))". The record is from RNAcentral. Lineage: Eukaryota; Metazoa; Chordata; Actinopteri; Synbranchiformes; Synbranchidae. RNAcentral also lists the same sequence under 1 other name.